Long non-coding RNA from Homo sapiens (human), 1551 nucleotides. RefSeq lists it as uncharacterized. NCBI's taxonomy places the organism in Eukaryota, Metazoa, Chordata, Mammalia, Primates, Hominidae. The record is from RefSeq and is a predicted model, not a curated record. The transcript has 3 exons.
GCUGAUAGCACAGCUAACAUGAGAGGAAAGCUGGGCUGUCAGGAGAGCUGUGUCCUGUUUCCAGGCACAGCAAGGACAGCUGGGUUCAGACUGAAGCAAGACCCGAAAUGGAUGCCCUGUUGGAGAGCAUUGGUGAUUUACCCUACAGGCAACCAUUGGCUCAUUUUGUGCUACAGGAAAGGGGUUGUGCCAAUUCACAUGCUCACUGGCGGUACACAAGAGUCCCACAGCCUCCACCAAAGAGUGCCCAGCCUAAUGGUGGCCAUCUUUUAGAGGAGGAAAUAAAUGUUCAGAGAAGUCAAGUUCCUUGUGCAAGCGGGAUUCGAUACAGGGGACACAACCAAGAGACCUCUGAGUCCCUCCACACAUCCAUGCUGUGUGUUGACUUGCUUACAAGAGUCCCCUGUGUCAGAGGCUGCCUGGCAGUGGGGACAUGAGCCUUUCCCUUAGAGGGAAACAUGAGAUUGGGCAACAAGGGUAGUCCUCAAGGUUCUACCUCGAGACUCCAGGACGCUGGACAUUGGAAAUGAGGCCACACCCUGGAGGAGCAUUGUCGGCUAAAGCCAAACACCAUUAGCGUCUGAAGGGGAUGUGGGACCCAUCUAAGGUAUCACAUCCCUGAUCACCCACCAUGGGGUCUGCAGCUGGAGAGGGUCCCCCCAGGAGGGGCUGGAGCGGGGAGUUCUCUGCCCUGGGAGGCAGGUCUCCUGGCCCUUCACUGGAGUGAUCUCUUCUUUUCUGAUGUCAAAUCCUGAUCUAAAGGGAGGCAUCUUCCUUCUUAUGGCAUGGCCAUGUCUCCUGUGUUCCUUCCUCAAGCCAAAUCCUUUUCCACGAUGCCUUCCCCUCUGAGCCCUGUAUAACCCAAUAGUGCAAAUAUUCCCACAUCCCCUACCCACAACAGGGGUGAGCACAUUGCAAAUGUUCCGCCGGCGAAUCAGCACCUGCCUGGAGGUGUUCUUGGUGUCUGCGUCCUGCCUCCAGUACAGAGGACCUCAAAUCCAUGAUACUUCACCUGGUGCUCCCCAGGAAAGCCUGGCAGAGGACCUGACGAUUCCCAGCAAGACCAAGCACUGCUGUCCAGGGUCAGCCACGGUCACUUCUCUGCAGCUGUCAUCCGGGCACAAUCUCCAAAUAUUUCUAGCCAUUCAGACGUUCACUAUAAUCAGAAUUAACGCAUGUAGAACCAAAGAGCCAGACACAUGGGUUCAAACCUGCCCCACCAUUUACAGUGAGAGCUUAGUGAGUCACUUAACCUGUGCCUCAGUUUUCUCACCUGUAAAAAGAACAUAACAGUAACAAUACCAUUGAGCUGCUAUGCAGUGGAUGAGCUUCUAUAUGAAAGGUGAGUGAAAAGUGUCUGGAUGUGGUGGUGUCAACCUUUCCCUGGGGUGGUGGUGGCUGAUCUGUGGCACCCCACAUGACAAUGUCUUUGCCAUGGCAGUAGAUGCUGUUAAAUCAGGCCCUGGGUUUGUCUUGGCUUGACUUGUUUCCAUUUUCAAUUGAAAAUUAAAUGUGGAUAGACUUCAGCCUGACUCGGUCUGCUCCCUGGAC